This 450-nucleotide ribosomal RNA is filed under the name uncultured Glomus. RNAcentral describes it as "SSU rRNA". It matches the Rfam family "Eukaryotic small subunit ribosomal RNA", at positions 569 to 1023 of the family's 1831-position model. The record is from RNAcentral. Lineage: Eukaryota; Fungi; Glomeromycota; Glomeromycetes; Glomerales; Glomeraceae.
AGCAGCCGCGGUAAUUCCAGCUCCAAUAGCGUAUAUUAAAGUUGUUGCAGUUAAAAAGCUCGUAGUUGAAUUUCGGGAUCAAUGUUUCGGUCAUGCCGUUGGUAUGUACUGAUAUUAUUGAUUUCUCACCUUCUAAAGAACCGUAAUGCCAUUAAUUUGGCGUCACGGGGAAUUAGGACUGUUACCUUGAAAAAUUGGAGUGUUUAAAGCAGGCUCACGCUUGAAUACAUUAGCAUGGAAUAAUGAAAUAGGACAUCCGAUUCUAUUUUGUUGGUUUCUAGGAUCGAUGUAAUGAUUAAUAGGGAUAGUUGGGGGCAUUAGUAUUCAAUUGUCAAAGGUGAAAUUCUUGGAUUUAUCGAAGACUAACUACUGCGAAAGCAUUUGCCAAGGAUGUUUUCAUUAAUCAAGAACGAAAGUUAGGGGAUCGAAGACGAUCAGAUACCGUCGUAG